CGUAGGGUGCAAGCGUUAAUCGGAAUUACUGGGCGUAAAGCGUGCGCAGGCGGCUUUGCAAGACAGAUGUGAAAUCCCCGGGCUCAACCUGGGAACUGCAUUUGUGACUGCAAGGCUAGAGUACGGUAGAGGGGGAUGGAAUUCCGCGUGUAGCAGUGAAAUGCGUAGAUAUGCGGAGGAACACCGAUGGCGAAGGCAAUCCCCUGGACCUGUACUGACGCUCAUGCACGAAAGCGUGGGGAGCAAACAGGAUUAGAUACCCUGGUAGUCCACGCCCUAAACGAUGUCAACUGGUUGUUGGACGGCUUGCUGUUCAGUAACGAAGCUAACGCGUGAAGUUGACCGCCUGGGGAGUACGGCCGCAAGGUUG
RNAcentral lists this ribosomal RNA (370 nucleotides) under uncultured organism. RNAcentral's name for it is "bacterial SSU rRNA". It matches the Rfam family "Bacterial small subunit ribosomal RNA", at positions 526 to 896 of the family's 1533-position model. The record is from RNAcentral.